ACGGGUGAGUAACGCGUAAAGAACUUGCCCUGCAGACAGGGAUAACAGACGGAAACGACUGACAACACCUGAUACAGUUGCCGGCACGCAUGUGCCCGGCAAUGAAAAGAGAUGCUGCGGGAGAGCUUUGCGUCCUAUUAGCUUGUUGGCGGGGUAACGGCCCACCAAGGCGAUGAUAGGUAGCCGGCCUGAGAGGGUGGACGGCCACAAGGGGACUGAGAUACGGCCCUUACUCCUACGGGAGGCAGCAGUGGGGAAUAUUGGGCAAUGGGGGCAACCCUGAUCCAGCAAUUCUGUGUGCACGAGGAAGGUUUUCGGAUUGUAAAGUGCUUUCAGCAGGGAAGAAGGAAGUGACGGUACCUGCAGAAGAAGCGACGGCUAAAUACGUGCCAGCAGCCGCGGUAAUACGUAUGUCGCAAGCGUUAUCCGGAAUUAUUGGGCAUAAAGGGCAUCUAGGCGGCCAGGCAAGUCCGGGGUGAAAACUUGCGGCUCAACCGCAAGCCUGCCCUGGAAACUGCCUGGCUAGAGUGCUGGAGAGGUGGACGGAACUGCACGAGUAGAGGUGAAAUUCGUAGAUAUGUGCAGGAAUGCCGAUGAUGAAGAUAGUUCACUGGACGGCAACUGACGCUG
This 630-nucleotide ribosomal RNA is filed under the name uncultured bacterium. Its description in RNAcentral is "bacterial SSU rRNA". It matches the Rfam family "Bacterial small subunit ribosomal RNA", at positions 102 to 748 of the family's 1533-position model. The record is from RNAcentral.